RNAcentral lists this ribosomal RNA (467 nucleotides) under uncultured bacterium. Its description in RNAcentral is "partial 16S ribosomal RNA". It matches the Rfam family "Bacterial small subunit ribosomal RNA", at positions 29 to 507 of the family's 1533-position model. The record is from RNAcentral.
AUGAACGCUGGCGGCGUGCUUAACACAUGCAAGUCGAACGGUGAAGGCGGAGCUUGCUCUGCUGGAUCAGUGGCGAACGGGUGAGUAACACGUGAGCAAUCUGCCCCUGACUCUGGGAUAAGCGCUGGAAACGGCGUCUAAUACUGGAUACGAGCUGCGAAGGCAUCUUCAGCAGCUGGAAAGAAUUUCGGUCAGGGAUGAGCUCGCGGCCUAUCAGCUUGUUGGUGAGGUAAUGGCUCACCAAGGCGUCGACGGGUAGCCGGCCUGAGAGGGUGACCGGCCACAAUGGGACUGCGACACGGACCAGACUCCUACGGGAGGCAGCAGUGGGGAAUAUUGCACAAUGGGCGAAAGCCUGAUGCAGCAACGCCGCGUGAGGGACGACGGCCUUCGGGUUGUAAACCUCUUUUAGCAGGGAAGAAGCGAAAGUGACGGUACCUGCAGAAAAAGCGCCGGCUAACUACGUG